RNAcentral lists this ribosomal RNA (492 nucleotides) under uncultured bacterium. Its description in RNAcentral is "partial 16S ribosomal RNA". It matches the Rfam family "Bacterial small subunit ribosomal RNA", at positions 29 to 508 of the family's 1533-position model. The record is from RNAcentral.
GUGCACGCUGGCGGUAGGCCUAACACAUGCCAGUCGCACGGCAGCACAGUAAGCGCUUGCUCUUACGGGUGGCGAGUGGCGGACGGGUGAGGAAUACAUCGGAAUCUACUUUUUCGUGGGGGAUAACGUAGGGAAACUUACGCUAAUACCGCAUACGACCUACGGGUGAAAGCAGGGGAUCUUCGGACCUUGCGCGAUUGAAUGAGCCGAUGUCGGAUUAGCUAGUUGGCGGGGUAAAGGCCCACCAAGGCGACGAUCCGUAGCUGGUCUGAGAGGAUGAUCAGCCACACUGGAACUGAGACACGGUCCAGACUCCUACGGGAGGCAGCAGUGGGGAAUAUUGGACAAUGGGCGCAAGCCUGAUCCAGCCAUACCGCGUGGGUGAAGAAGGCCUUCGGGUUGUAAAGCCCUUUUGUUGGGAAAGAAAAGCAGCAGGUUAAUACCCCGCUGUUCUGACGGUACCCAAAGAAUAAGCACCGGCUAACUUCGUGC